RNAcentral lists this ribosomal RNA (431 nucleotides) under uncultured Pseudomonas sp. RNAcentral describes it as "bacterial SSU rRNA". It matches the Rfam family "Bacterial small subunit ribosomal RNA", at positions 954 to 1382 of the family's 1533-position model. The record is from RNAcentral. Lineage: Bacteria; Pseudomonadati; Pseudomonadota; Gammaproteobacteria; Pseudomonadales; Pseudomonadaceae.
AAGCAACGCGAAGAACUUACCUAGGCCUUGACAUGCAGAGAACGUUUCCAGAGAUGGAUUGGUGGCCUUCGGGAACGUCUGACACAGGUGCUGCAUGGCUGUCGUCAGCUCGUGUCGUGAGACGUUGGGUUAAGUCCGUAACGAGCGCAACCCUUGUCCUUAGUUACCAGCACGUUAUGGUGGGCACUCUAAGGAGACUGCCGGUGACAAACCGGAGGAAGGUGGGGAUGACGUCAAGUCAUCAUGGCCCUUACGGCCUGGGCUACACACGUGCUACAAUGGUCGGUACAAAGGGUUGCCAAGCCGCGAGGUGGAGCUAAUCCCAUAAAACCGAUCGUAGUCCGGAUCGCAGUCUGCAACUCGACUGCGUGAAGUCGGAAUCGCUAGUAAUCGUGAAUCAGAAUGUCACGGUGAAUACGUUCCCGGGCCUU